RNAcentral lists this ribosomal RNA (478 nucleotides) under uncultured bacterium. RNAcentral's name for it is "partial 16S ribosomal RNA". It matches the Rfam family "Bacterial small subunit ribosomal RNA", at positions 28 to 507 of the family's 1533-position model. The record is from RNAcentral.
GAUGAACGCUGGCGGCGUGCUUAACACAUGCAAGUCGAACGGGAAACCUUUUAUUGAAGCUUCGGCAGAUUUAGCUGGUUUCUAGUGGCGGACGGGUGAGUAACGCGUGGGUAACCUGCCUUAUACAGGGGGAUAACAGUCAGAAAUGGCUGCUAAUACCGCAUAAGCGCACAGAGCUGCAUGGCUCAGUGUGAAAAACUCCGGUGGUAUAAGAUGGACCCGCGUUGGAUUAGCUGGUUGGUGGGGUAACGGCCCACCAAGGCGACGAUCCAUAGCCGGCCUGAGAGGGUGAACGGCCACAUUGGGACUGAGACACGGCCCAGACUCCUACGGGAGGCAGCAGUGGGGAAUGUUGCACAAUGGGGGAAACCCUGAUGCAGCGACGCCGCGUGAAGGAAGAAGUAUCUCGGUAUGUAAACUUCUAUCAGCAGGGAAGAUAAUGACGGUACCUGACGAAGAAGCCCCGGCUAACUACGUG